ACGGAGGGUGCGAGCGUUAAUCGGAAUUACUGGGCGUAAAGCGUACGUAGGCGGUUAUUUAAGUGGGAUGUGAAAGCCCCAGGCUCAACCUGGGAACUGCACCCCAAACUGGGUAACUAGAGUAUGGCAGAGGGGUGUGGAAUUUCCUGUGUAGCGGUGAAAUGCGUAGAUAUAGGAAAGAACAUCAGUGGCGAAGGCGACACCCUGGGUCAAUACUGACGCUGAGGUACGACAGCGUGGGGAGCAAACAGG
RNAcentral lists this ribosomal RNA (252 nucleotides) under uncultured bacterium. Its description in RNAcentral is "partial 16S ribosomal RNA". It matches the Rfam family "Bacterial small subunit ribosomal RNA", at positions 525 to 776 of the family's 1533-position model. The record is from RNAcentral.